This 384-nucleotide long non-coding RNA is filed under the name Gallus gallus (chicken). RNAcentral describes it as "long non-coding RNA NONGGAT009423". Lineage: Eukaryota; Metazoa; Chordata; Aves; Galliformes; Phasianidae. The record is from RNAcentral.
AAUUAAUGAGACUUGUUUAUGUCUUCCUUUCAGGUCUGUAACAGGGACGCAGCCGCUGCAGGCAGCAGAUGUGAGCAGUGGCAGCCCAGAGGAUGGGGACAGCCGUGCUGUGCCCCCGGCAGCGCUCACUGCCCGGCCCAGGAGGAUGGAAUAAAGUGGAAAAUAUGGCGAGAAGAAAUACAGUCUUAAUAGACAAGAGUCAUAAAUUGCAAUGGUUUACAUUGGAAAACCUCAGAAGCAAAGACGCUAAGAAAGCAGGAUUACUGUAGGAAGGUAUGAUUUUUUUCUCUGGCUCAGGAAACACGUGGGUUGAAAGACAGCAGUGCAUUUUUCCAGGACCACGGUGAUUAAUCUGUGCACAUUAAGAUGAGUUGCAUGUCUGUG